GUGUUCGUCGAUGGGAGAGACUGUUGGCUACUCCCCGAACAGUGACGAGAUAGGCCUUACAGCUAUUUUUGUUACCGUGCACAUUCGUCGGUUAAGGCAAACCGCUUAGGCGGAUCUUACCCAUUUUUAUAU
Dendrobium catenatum is the source of this 132-nucleotide small nuclear RNA. Lineage: Eukaryota; Viridiplantae; Streptophyta; Magnoliopsida; Asparagales; Orchidaceae. The record is from RefSeq and is a predicted model, not a curated record.